AUGUUGAGUAGAGAAACUCUGCUCUGGACUAAUUUCCUGAACAAAUAUCCUGCUCCACUCUCAAGAUCUCCGAUACUGCACUCUAACUCCGACAAUUGUUCCUCCUUACAAACAACCGCCUUCUUCUUGUGGAAUGCCUUGGAAACAAGAGACUGUUUAGGCAUUUCGAUUUGCUUCGACACAAGAUGGAGUGUGGACUCCAGGAGAGACGCAGAGACCUCCCUGGCCUUGGCCAAUAGCAUGACCAUCCUGCAAUCUGCAGGAGCCUUCUUCGUGGCCUUCUUGAAAUGGUUCCUGGCCUUCUUCGCCAAGUGGGUGUAA
Molecule: ribosomal RNA, 321 nt
Filed under: Triticum aestivum (bread wheat)
Lineage: Eukaryota; Viridiplantae; Streptophyta; Magnoliopsida; Poales; Poaceae
Description: partial small subunit ribosomal RNA
Source: RNAcentral